AAAGAUGAUAUGAGCAAUGGUGCCCUCUAUUGGUUUGUUGAAAAAUGUCGUCUGCUCAUUAAUUCACACGUGCUGAUGUGUUUGUUUUCGUUUGGUCUAGGCCCUACUCGCAGUUUGUUAGAUAGAGAUUGCGCAAUAUGGAUUUAAAUAAGAGUAAGAAAUUGACGGGGAAAGAAUGGACAGAAUUGAAAAGAAAAA
This is a long non-coding RNA of Anneissia japonica, 198 nucleotides long. RefSeq lists it as uncharacterized. The record is from RefSeq and is a predicted model, not a curated record. NCBI's taxonomy places the organism in Eukaryota, Metazoa, Echinodermata, Crinoidea, Comatulida, Comatulidae. The transcript is spliced from 3 exons.